Molecule: long non-coding RNA, 97 nt
Organism: Melitaea cinxia (Glanville fritillary)
Lineage: Eukaryota; Metazoa; Arthropoda; Insecta; Lepidoptera; Nymphalidae
Exons: 3
Source: RefSeq, a predicted model, not a curated record
AAUAGUAUUUAAAAAAAAAAAGACUUGGAACGUAACUGUUUUUAAAACGUUUCGUAAUAAUUAGAAAUUGCAUGCUACUAUAAAGCAAGCGCGAAAA